Non-coding RNA from Acanthosepion pharaonis, 99 nucleotides. Lineage: Eukaryota; Metazoa; Mollusca; Cephalopoda; Sepiida; Sepiidae. The record is from the annotation of a GenBank genome assembly.
UUAAAACAUUGGUUCCCGUACAAUCACAGCAAGUUAAGCAACGUCGAGCUUGGUCAGUACCUAGAUAGGUGACCACUUUGGAACAGCAGGUGCUGUAAG